AUGAUGGAUCUAAUUUCAUAAAAAGAAAAAAAUAAAAAUCAAAUGGCUGCAGUAUUCCUGACUGUAUUAAGGUAGCACAAUCAAUCGCCGCUUAAUUGGCGGAUAGUAUGAACGGUAAUACGAAGAUUCCACUGUCUCAAGUAUAAAAUAAAGAAAAUUGAGAUAAUAGUUAAGAUGCUAUUUUUAAUCGUAAGACGAUAAGACCCUAUAAAGCUUAACUAUACCCCCCUCACCUUAGGGUGGUGGGGAGAGGUAGUUUACUUGGGGCAAGGACUUUUUAAAAAGAAAAAAAGUAAGCAAAGCAAAUAAAAAAAUAAAUAGUUUAUUGUAUAAAAAAUAAAUUUAACAAUCACAACGUGGGCUAUAAUGACCCGUUAACACUACAAAAAGGUUAACAAUUAUUUGAUAAAAGCUACUUUAGGGAUAACAGGAUAAUUUCAUUAAAGAGAGGAAAUCGCUGAUGAAGUUUGUCACCUCGAUGUUGAAUUAAGAUAACCGAGCAGAGCAAAAACUGCUUAAGGUAGGUCUGUUCGACCUUUAAAUAUCUUACAUGAUUUGAGUUCAUUCCGU
RNAcentral lists this ribosomal RNA (570 nucleotides) under Callicarpa gracilis. RNAcentral's name for it is "partial large subunit ribosomal RNA". It matches the Rfam family "Bacterial large subunit ribosomal RNA", at positions 1880 to 2619 of the family's 2925-position model. The record is from RNAcentral. Lineage: Eukaryota; Metazoa; Cnidaria; Hydrozoa; Leptothecata; Plumulariidae.